AUCGCUUCUCGGCCUUUUGGCUAAGAUCAAGUGUAGUAUCUGUUCUUAUCAGUUCAAUAAUUGGGCCAUGACUUUGUACUUGGAGUUGUCUGUGCUCCACCUAUC
Molecule: small nuclear RNA, 105 nt
Filed under: Suricata suricatta (meerkat)
Lineage: Eukaryota; Metazoa; Chordata; Mammalia; Carnivora; Herpestidae
Description: U2 spliceosomal RNA (ENSSSUG00005020763.1)
Rfam family: U2 spliceosomal RNA
About the family: U2 is a small nuclear RNA (snRNA) component of the spliceosome (involved in pre-mRNA splicing). Complementary binding between U2 snRNA (in an area lying towards the 5' end but 3' to hairpin I) and the branchpoint sequence (BPS) of the intron results the bulging out of an unpaired adenosine, on the BPS, which initiates a nucleophilic attack at the intronic 5' splice site, thus starting the first of two transesterification reactions that mediate splicing.
Source: Rfam by way of RNAcentral